GCCGGGCGUGGUGGCGCAUGCCUGUAGUCCCAGCUACUCGGGAGGCUGAGGCAGGAGAAUCGCUUGAACCUGGGAGACGGAGGUUGCAGUGAGCUGAGAUUGCGCCACUGGCCACUGCACUCCAGCCUGGGUGACACAGCAAGACUCCGUCUCAA
RNAcentral lists this non-coding RNA (155 nucleotides) under Pan troglodytes (chimpanzee). Lineage: Eukaryota; Metazoa; Chordata; Mammalia; Primates; Hominidae. The record is from Rfam by way of RNAcentral.